GCGGAUGUGGUGGAAUGGUAGACACGCUGGUCUUAGAAACCAGUGCCCACAGGCGUGAGAGUUCGAGUCUCUCCGUCCGCACCA
This 84-nucleotide transfer RNA is filed under the name compost metagenome. RNAcentral's name for it is "tRNA-Leu". It matches the Rfam family "tRNA". Rfam says of the family: Transfer RNA (tRNA) molecules are approximately 80 nucleotides in length. Their secondary structure includes four short double-helical elements and three loops (D, anti-codon, and T loops). The record is from RNAcentral.